This 492-nucleotide ribosomal RNA is filed under the name uncultured bacterium. Its description in RNAcentral is "partial 16S ribosomal RNA". It matches the Rfam family "Bacterial small subunit ribosomal RNA", at positions 29 to 507 of the family's 1533-position model. The record is from RNAcentral.
AGUGAACGCUGGCGGUAGGCCUAACACAUGCAAGUCGAACGGCAGCACAGUAAGAGCUUGCUCUUACGGGUGGCGAGUGGCGGACGGGUGAGGAAUACAUCGGAAUCUACUUUUUCGUGGGGGAUAACGUAGGGAAACUUACGCUAAUACCGCAUACGACCUACGGGUGAAAGCAGGGGAUCUUCGGACCUUGCGCGAUUGAAUGAGCCGAUGUCGGAUUAGCUAGUUGGCGGGGUAAAGGCCCACCAAGGCGACGAUCCGUAGCUGGUCUGAGAGGAUGAUCAGCCACACUGGAACUGAGACACGGUCCAGACUCCUACGGGAGGCAGCAGUGGGGAAUAUUGGACGAUGGGCGCAAGCCUGAUCCAGCCAUACCGCGUGGGUGAAGGAGGCCUUCGGGUUGUAAAGCCCUUUUGUUGGGAAAGAAAAGCAGCAGGUUAAUACCCCGCUGUUCUGACGGUACCCAAAGAAUAAGCACCGGCUAACUUCGUG